RNAcentral lists this ribosomal RNA (602 nucleotides) under Eucyrtidium campanulatum. RNAcentral's name for it is "partial large subunit ribosomal RNA". It matches the Rfam family "Eukaryotic large subunit ribosomal RNA", at positions 116 to 821 of the family's 3401-position model. The record is from RNAcentral. Lineage: Eukaryota; Polycystinea; Nassellaria; Theoperidae.
AAUCCCCGUGCCCCUUUCGGCGCGUGGGAAUUGUAGUCUUGGCGGGUUAACGGUGCUGGCUUGCAGAUAAUUUGAUGGAAAUCAAGGUCAGAGAGGGUGAAAAUCCCGUGUUCUGCGGCGUCGGCACCACUGUUUGCCCGUUUUCUUCRAGUAGCGUUGCUUGGGAAUGCAGCGUGAAGCGGGAGGUAGAACCCUUCCAAAGCUAAAUACUGGCGAGAGACCGAUAGCGAACAAGUACCGUGAGGGAAAGAUGAAAAGCACUUUGGGAAGAGAGUUAAACAGUAUGUGAAAUCGUUGGAGGCAAGCGAAUCGCUGGGCAUAUGGCGCGGUUCUGUGGCUGGGCACUCGUGUCGGCGUGCGCGCUCUUCGAGCGUGCCCCUGGCGCUCCCGGUGCCCGGCUCUGGGACGAGGUUUUGGCGCCUUGUAGGGCACUGCGAUCCGACCCGUCUUGAAACACGGACCAAGGAGUCUAACAUGUGUGCGAGUGCUCGGGUGAUCGAAACCCCUGCGCGAAGGCAACUCAAAUCGCGGUAACGGCCUCGGUCGUGCCCCGCGGGAAGUGUACUAUUCCCUAUCAAGAGCAUGUAUGUUGGGACCCGAAA